CAACCUCAACUCAUAUGGGACUACCCCCUGAAUUUAAGCAUAUUAAUUAGGGGAGGAAAAGAAACUAACAAGGAUUUUCUUAGUAGCGGCGAGCGAAAAGAAAUCAGUUCAGCACUAAGUCACUUUGUCUAUAUGGCAAAUGUGAGAUGCAGUGUACGGAACAUCAACAUUCUAGUAUGAGAAGUUAACGAUUUAAGUCCUUCUUAAAUGAGGCCAUUUACCCAUAGAGGGUGCCAGGCCCGUAUAACGUUAAUGAUUACUAGAUGGUGUUUCCAAAGAGUCGUGUUGCUUGAUAGUGCAGCACUAAGUGGGUGGUAAACUCCAUCUAAAACUAAAUAUAACCAUGAGACCGAUAGUAAACAAGUACCGUGAGGGAAAGUUGAAAAGAACUCUGAAUAGAGAGUUAAAUAGUACGUGAAACUGCUUAGAGGUUAAGCCCGAUGAACCUGAAUAUCCGUUAUGGAAAAUUCAUCAUUAGAAUUGUAAUAUUUUAAACAAUAUUAUAAUAAUAGUGUGCAUUUUUUCCAUAUAAGGACAUUGUAAUCUAUUAGCAUAAAUAUUUAUCAUAAAAUUAUGUCUGAUUGCUUAUUUGAAUUAUAUGCUUGGCAUUUUAACAUAAAAUAAAAGAUAUAAAUUUGAUAAAGUGCUGAUAGAUUUAUAUGAUUACAGUGCGUUAAUUUUUCGGAAUUAUAUAAUGGCAUAAUUAUCAUUGAUAUUUG
RNAcentral lists this non-coding RNA (719 nucleotides) under Drosophila virilis. RNAcentral describes it as "Eukaryotic large subunit ribosomal RNA". It matches the Rfam family "Eukaryotic large subunit ribosomal RNA", at positions 1 to 628 of the family's 3401-position model. Lineage: Eukaryota; Metazoa; Arthropoda; Insecta; Diptera; Drosophilidae. The record is from Rfam by way of RNAcentral.